RNAcentral lists this ribosomal RNA (520 nucleotides) under uncultured Helicobacter sp. RNAcentral describes it as "bacterial SSU rRNA". It matches the Rfam family "Bacterial small subunit ribosomal RNA", at positions 62 to 430 of the family's 1533-position model. Lineage: Bacteria; Pseudomonadati; Campylobacterota; Epsilonproteobacteria; Campylobacterales; Helicobacteraceae. The record is from RNAcentral.
UUUAACGAUGAAGCUUCUAGCUUGCUAGAAGUGGAUUAGUGGCGCACGGGUGAGUAACGCAUAGGUAACAUGCCCUUUAGUCUGGGAUAGCCACUGGAAACGGUGAUUAAUACUGGAUACUCCCUACGGGGGAAAGUAGCACUCAAUAAUGCCCUUAAAGUGUUUUUAGAAACAAAGAGAGUGGAGUAAAUAUCGUUUUAGAUUCUGUAAGUUUGUCUUUAAUAAAUGCAGCAGAAUAUAAAAUGAUAGUUGCUUUGCUAGUCUUUGUUAAAUAAAAAUAGUUUAAGGGUAUUAUUGAGUGCUCUCGCUAAAGGAUUGGCCUAUGUCCUAUCAGCUUGUUGGUGAGGUAAUGGCUCACCAAGGCUAUGACGGGUAUCCGGCCUGAGAGGGUGAUCGGACACACUGGAACUGAGACACGGUCCAGACUCCUACGGGAGGCAGCAGUAGGGAAUAUUGCUCAAUGGGGGAAACCCUGAAGCAGCAACGCCGCGUGGAGGAUGAAGGUUUUAGGAUUGUAAAC